RNAcentral lists this ribosomal RNA (253 nucleotides) under uncultured bacterium. RNAcentral describes it as "partial 16S ribosomal RNA". It matches the Rfam family "Bacterial small subunit ribosomal RNA", at positions 524 to 776 of the family's 1533-position model. The record is from RNAcentral.
UACGUAGGUGGCAAGCGUUGUCCGGAAUUAUUGGGCGUAAAGCGCGCGCAGGCGGUCCUUUAAGUCUGAUGUGAAAGCCCACGGCUCAACCGUGGAGGGUCAUUGGAAACUGGGGGACUUGAGUGCAGAAGAGGAGAGUGGAAUUCCACGUGUAGCGGUGAAAUGCGUAGAGAUGUGGAGGAACACCAGUGGCGAAGGCGACUCUCUGGUCUGUAACUGACGCUGAGGCGCGCAAGCGUGGGGAGCAAGACGG